Otolemur garnettii (small-eared galago) is the source of this 164-nucleotide small nuclear RNA. Its record names the gene U1. It matches the Rfam family "U1 spliceosomal RNA". Rfam says of the family: U1 is a small nuclear RNA (snRNA) component of the spliceosome (involved in pre-mRNA splicing). Its 5' end forms complementary base pairs with the 5' splice junction, thus defining the 5' donor site of an intron. There are significant differences in sequence and secondary structure between metazoan and yeast U1 snRNAs, the latter being much longer (568 nucleotides as compared to 164 nucleotides in human). NCBI's taxonomy places the organism in Eukaryota, Metazoa, Chordata, Mammalia, Primates, Galagidae. The record is from Ensembl.
AUACUUACCUGGCAGGGGAGAUACCAUGAUCACAAAGGUGGUUUUCCCAGGGUGAGGCUUAUCCAUUGCACUAUGGAUGUGCUGACCCCUGUGAUUUCCCCAAAGGUGGGAAACUCGAGUGCAUAAUAUGUGGUAGUGGGGGACAGCAUUCAUGCUUUCCCCUG